UUCCUUCGGGAGCAAUUAAAGUGGCGCACGGGUGAGUAACGCGUAGACAAUCUGCCCUUCAGUCUGGGACAACUUUUCGAAAGGAGAGCUAAUACCGGAUAACAAUGCAUGACACAAGUUGUAUAUUUGAAAGCUUUAUGUGCUGAAGGAGGGGUCUGCGUCCCAUUAGCUAGUUGGUAGGGUAAAGGCUUACCAAGGCAACGAUGGGUAGCGGGUUUGAGAGGACGAUCCGCCACACUGGAACUGAGACACGGUCCAGACUCCUACGGGAGGCAGCAGUGGGGAAUAUUGCACAAUGGAGGAAACUCUGAUGCAGCAAUGUCGCGUGAGUGAAGAAGGCCCUUGGGUCGUAAAGCUCUUUUAUGGGGGAAGAUGAUGACGGUACCCCAAGAAUAAGCACCGGCUAACUAUGUGCCAGCAGCCGCGGUAAUACAUAGGGUGCGAGCGUUGUUCGGAAUUACUGGGCGUAAAGGGCGCGCAGGCGGAAUAGUAAGUCGGAGGUGAAAGCCCGGGGCUCAACCCCGGAGGGUCUUUCGAAACUACUAAUCUAGAGAGGGUCAGGGGCCGGCAGAAUUCCUGGUGUAGAGGUGAAAUUCGUAGAUAUCAGGAGGAAUACCGGUGGCGAAGGCGGCCGGCUGGGGCCACUCUGACGCUGAGGCGCGAAAGCGUGGGGAGCAAACAGGAUUAGAUACCCUGGUAGUCCACGCCGUAAACGAUGAGCACUGGACGUCCGGAGGGUUCGACCCUUCUGGGUGUCUCANCUAACGCAUU
Molecule: ribosomal RNA, 771 nt
Filed under: uncultured SAR324 cluster bacterium
Lineage: Bacteria; Deltaproteobacteria
Description: SSU rRNA
Rfam family: Bacterial small subunit ribosomal RNA
Source: RNAcentral